CUCUGAGUCCUCAUCUGGGGAGUCUCCUGCACCCCAGACACAAAAAAAACGAGUGGAACCAGAAGCGGGCAGUUUUUUUAUUUUUUUGGAAAGCGUCUUCGGCCGACCAUGACUGUUAAAGUGAAAGUUACGAAAUAUCCGCUGCAGAUUCAUGGCGUCACGAGGCUCUGAUCUUUUAUUAAAGUUAGAUUUCGUGCCAGAAAAUUUAGGAGCAUAAAUAUACGAUGAUUACCAUCUGAUUAUCAGUGGUAAUUGAGUGUUGGUGGCGGACACCCCCGGCUGCUGCUGUUCUGUGUGUGUGCGUGUCCUCCCCAGGACUGCCAGCUGGGAUGGCGGACACCCCCUCCCCCAACAGCGGCACUCAGAAUAUCCAGGUCUCCGCCCCCAGUAUCGUGCCCCACUGCGACUGCGCUCAGAUAUGCAGCUUGCGAGGGCAGCGACUGGCCUGCUGCCAGUUUCUCACCCGAUGAUACUGGCGAGGGUGUAUCCGCCAUUGCUGACAGCUACUCCUCACUUGACCGGCCGCCAUUCCACAUCUCCAGCUGCGUGUGCCCCCCCCCCAGAGCCCACAGGGGGGUAGGGCUGCCUCGGCAGGUGAAAGCUUACCACCCCCUACUGGCGGUACGCAGACCUAGCCGCGGGGGGCGGAGGGGGGUGUUUCUUUCUGUGAGGGGAAGGCAGAAUUCUUCUGUUUAUUUUUAAAUGGGCGGCAGCAAUGCGCCAGGUUGGCACUGAAAGAUGGGGCCCUGCUUGGGGGGGCACGGGGCGUGGCAAUGCGCUGUCAAGCUCCUGGUUGGUAUACCACUGUCCUCGGGUUUCCUAUAAAAGUCAGAGGCACUCGGAAAGGGGAGCGGGCCCCCCGAGCCAGUUAGGGGAGACCGAUAACCACGGAAACCGGGAACCAACGGCUGGGGGUGGGCACAGAGGGGCUCUGGGGGCACAGCGGUUAGUGGCCUUCACGGGGGUGUCUGGUAGGAUGUAUGUCCCUAUGUUCGCGUUUAGCGUAUGAAGACUACAAGCCAGAAACGUCAGAAUCGGCCGUGCGUGGAGGCUAUGCUGAGGGGGGGGGCACACACACACCCCCUCCCCACCCAGACCAGCUGGCUUGGAUCCUCGUCCAUGACGAAUCUCGUCAUUACUGACCAGCUCCAGCAGCAGCCCUGACAGUAAACGUCGCUCGCUUUUAAUUUAGGCUACUGACUUCCCUCCCCCGCUGCAGCGUUCGAGGGUGUGAAGAGCAUAUCUUUCAUCUACCGCCCUCACCUUGAUCCACCGUCGAGAGACAGUCGCCUUCCCGCGGCUGUAAUGCUAUUAUUCGACACCACCCCGCUAAUCUAAAUAAAUUUCUGCCUGUUCGUACAGGCAGAGUCUCGCCAUAGAGAUCCUUCUCGAACACCUUGCCGUAAAACACCAAAAAUAGCGCGGCCAGGACCGAGAGCCAGGCGUUCAUGCACCAGGCCGGGUGUCUCCAGAGCCGCCGCCCCACGUUCACGCUCAAAAAGGGAAACUAAGCGGCACCGCAGUGAAGGAUAAGUAGCACAUGGAAAUCAGGCUGCUUCCCCUACUGCCGACGUUAACGUGCCUGACGUGGGCCGCCUCUGAUGGCCGGCCAGAAAUGCUGUCACACCUGGAGUUCGCUUCACUGCAGCAAAUUUUGAAAGAUCGAGAUUUUCAAUAAGAUCCCUUUAUCCAUAUCUUGUGACCAUCUCCAGCUCUUGUAUAAUUUUACUGUUAUAUUAAUAUAUAGCCUCUAUUUAUUGCUUUCUUAAUUCUUAAAAUAAUCAAGCACCGAAAUCGGAUGUCUUACAGUAUGAAGCAUCGUUUGAGCUGUUUGACGUUGUUUCUGGGGAGUCGUUUCCCUGGCUCACUGUCCGUUAUAUUUGUGUGAGUUCCUAAACGCGUUCGGGGAAACCCAGGUCACCAGCAGCCACCCGCUUGCCUCUUUGUAGUCGUCAUGGUCUGCCAUUGAGACUCUACACUUUGCUCUUUACAUUUUCCAUCUCCGCAAUGAGUCUAAGUAUUGUUCCUCUCCUAUUUAAUCAGUGGCAGGUUUUAUAGACGCAAACCUGGCCGUAUAACUUAGCGAGGUGGGGAUCUGUGACUCUUUCCAGAAGGUUGUGGGUUUGAAUCCCAUGACAGUGCCGCUGGGCUGUUCAGCAAGGCCCGUAACUCCAGUUGCUCCGGGGUGCUGGCUGACCCCGCUCACUGAUCCCAAGUCUUUCUUCCUUGUGCAUCACUCUGAACACAUGGGUUUGCUAAAUAAAAUACAACAAUGCCAGAGCUUUGCGAACGUCUCUCCGAGCUUUGGGUGUGAAGGGUUCGAGAGGUGUGAAAAAUGCAGGGGUGCCUAACCAGGGCUUGGUUGGCCCAGAGUAAUUCAACAAAGAGCCGGAAUUGCUUGUUUGUAAGCAAAAGUGGCACUAAAGUGGCUUAAGGAGUCCGGUAGGUCAUUACAUUUUUUUUUAAACACCGUCGGAAAAAUACCUGCAUUGUGGAGAGCUAGCAGGUCACGAAAAGCAUUUGUGAUUUUAUUUUUCUCUGCUUGUUGCAGAUAAUUUUUCAUUUUACUGUAUAAUUUAAAUUUGAUGUUGCCAGUUAUAUCAAAAAUAGAAUAAGAGAAGUAGGUAUUAGGUAGGUGAUUUCAUGAUGUCACGCUAAUGAAACCUGAAAUUGAAUAUGUAUUGAGGAGUUAAUUACUAUGUGAGUGUGUGUUUUGCGUUUGGUUUAACGUGGGUUAUUUUCUGAAUUUGCGAUGGUGACCCAGAGAACGUCCUAAAAACCUGCCUAUUACUAAUUGAUGUCCCAUGAAAAUUUUAUCUAUGUUGGAAAGGUUAACAAAUAUCAUUAAUUAUUUGGACAUUGAUACAUUUAUUUAGAUCUGUAGUUAAUUGUAUUUAGGUGUAAUGCUGGUCAGCAUCAUUGCUAAUAAUGAUUGCCUAUUCCAUCUUUAAUAGCUAAUAAGUCCCUCUUUCUUUUACGAUACUUAAAAAAAUUUUAUGUAAAGCCUUAAAGUUUUCUGACUGAAAGUGCAUUUUUGAGAGAAUAUGGCUGUCUGUGGAUGUUCAGAAAAGUGGACUUUGGUGCAACGUAUCUCCCAGAACUCAUGAAGUCCUCAAUUGAAAUAAAAUAAAAUAAAAUAAAAUGGUGCUUUAUUUGGCAUUUACACAAGUACAAUUGCAGGUACAUUGAAAUGCUUCUUUUCACAUAUGCCAUCUUGCCAUCUUUUUUUUUUUUUUUGAGUUAAUUCAUAUUAAUUAGUGCAAAAUGUCCUUGCUGAUUGAUAAUCCCAAUACAGUGGUGAAAAUACUGUCAUAAUAUUUAAUUACAGUCACAGGUGUUAGUGUAAUAUCUUCGUUUUUGUGCUGGGUUAUCUAGAACAAAAGGAGAAAUCCGCAAAACGGGAGAGGUUAUGGAAAAAGCUGCAUGUCAUGGCAGUGAGACUGCAGUGAAACUGCAGUGGAACUGCGGCAACGCGAGAGCAGGGCUGACGACUUUCGUGAGUAAACUUCUCCUUCGGGAAGAGAAGCAAACUCCCUUUUCCCAAAAACUUACCAUGCAGAAAGUUGUACAGUAUGAGAAGGAGGUUUAGGCAGCAGUUUGUGAUACUCAGGCUCUGUCCUGGUCCUGAAAUGCUUCACAAACGCGAACUCUGGGAGGGUCAGAGCAUGCGGUCCCUCGCUGCUCGCAAAGGGCCGUUACGGUGCUUCGGGAGGUGAGUUUGAAACAAACGCAUUUCACCUUAGAAAAGUCGUAUACUGACAUGUAUUUUAAAAAUGUAGAAUGUGCAUGUGUUUGCCAUAUAUAUAUAUGUGUGUGUGUGUGUGUGUGUGUGUGUGUGUGUGUGUGUGUGUGUGUAUGUAUGUAUAAUUACCAAGUUGUUUAUUCCUUGGUAACUUUAGAUGGGAGAAUUGUGAGUGUUAAAAAAAAAAUAAAAUUUGAUUUUUAGGAGAGCUGAGUAAAUAAAAAGCUUGAUCCAAUUUGUACAUAUUUAUUAUACCUUCUGUUCUUCAAAAAACUAAGCCAGCUUCCUGUCUGUUUUACUGCUUUACUGUGAUCUUCUGAAUGUGUGCAUUGAAGUGGCCUUGUUCAUUUCCAUUAUAGGGCCAUGAAUCCCACAAAUCAAUUGCAGCUAUCCCAAAAGUCUAUGCCCUGAAAAUAAGCCUUAACCUUAAAACACGAUUAAACACUUAAAACUUUGUGAGUUUGUUCAUUAUUUUAUUAGUUUUCAGCAGCUUUGUGCUGCGAUUAAACAAGCAUUUUCUGUUUCUAAACAUUUUCAGAAUAUGUCAAAAUUUCCUUCGUGAAAUAAACUCAAAACCUGUCAGCAGUGUAGGUCUUACUUUGCAUCAAUUUAGAUGUAUAUGAGUGUGAUUGUUUCAGAUUUUUGUGUCAUUUGCAGUUUUUUAAAUAAUGCUCGGUGGGUGCUAUAAUUAAGGGCUUCUGAUAAACAUGCUGCUGUUUAAGAUUUAUGUAAUUUCCCAGUCACUGUUUGUUCUGGGUUCUGCUACACUAAGUAGUGUAUUUUCUGGAAUAAUGAAGAUGCUGAACUUUGUUAGUUAAAAUUCUUUAACUGUAUUUUACAUACAUCUUACCAUGUUCAUGACCGAACACAUGAUUAUAUUAUUUGAUACAAAUGGAGAAGUAAAAUAGCUCAGAAUUAUUCAGAUUCAUUAGCAGUAGCUUGUUUCGUUAAUAUGUCCUAAAUAUUUAUUAAAUUCAGAUGCAUCCCGCUGCACUGUCUGCUUCCACGUAUUAUACGUGGCUUACGAUGAAUUGCAACUUCUAAACAGGAGAGAAUUAUAAUGUGUAAAAAACCGAUAAUCAAAUUAUUUCACAAAUUAUAUCACAAUUUUUUUCUAAUCUGGGUUAAAAUUGUUAGAAUUGAUCUGUUUCAUUUGAAAUUGCAUCUUUUAAAAUAGUUUACACUCAUUUUUAUUAUAAAUGAAAUACACGGUUAAAUUUAAUAUUCCGAAUGCAUUGUGCGGAUGUAUAGCAGAUUGGAGGUUAAAAUGAAACACACCUUACAAACACCAAGCUCUGCUGACACAUCCUGUAAGUGUGGAAAAAUCAUGUAUAGUUUUAUUCUUGGUUCAUUAAUAGAUUUCAGCUUCACUUACUGUUACAGUAUGUAUCUAUUCAAAAUGUUUAUAAUUUGUUUUCAAAAAUAUUACCUCACCAUAUAAAUGUCAGACAGGGUGUGCCGAAAUAACAUAGAUAAGCCACAGUAUUAUAGACAAUCUGUUUUAAAAAUGAAACAUUCCACUGUGUAUUUGUUCCAUUAUCUGGGUGACAUGUGACAUGACAUUAUUAUGAUCGAUAAAUUAUGAUGCAGAAAUUUUACUUUUGGAAACUCCCGUAAUUUUUUAUUUUUAACACAUUGGUGCAGACGUAGCAUAAGUCAGUUUGUGUUUUCCGGUCUCAUGCGUAAAUUGAAUGGUGUGUAGUUAUGUAUUAUAAUUAAUUGUGUUUUAGCUUGGCUCGUGUGCCCUGUUGUGAUAAGUACUUUGGUUAGUGAGUAAACUAUAUAUGCAAAGUAACUAAAAUUAUUACUUUGUGUUAUUCAAAUACAAUUAUACAAUUAUAAUGUAAGUAAUUAAGUAUAUGUUCAUAUUUCUCUAUAUUGACUUAAAAGAACAUAAAAACCUAAAUAUGUUAGAAUUUAAUAAUAUUCUUGUGUGUGAUACUUUUAAUUUCAUUGUGUUUUCUACAUGCAAAAUUACAAGUGAAUAUUUUGCAUAUGUCCUUAAUUGGGUAUUUAGAUAGACGUUUUCCUUUUUAAAAUGCAUGCUAAAUUGUUAUUAGACGGGGAUGUAAGAAUAUCAUAGAUGUGGUCUUUUUUUAAAUAUUGUUCUGUAUAUUCAAUAAGGAAUAAUCCAUUUCUCAAAGCAUGCAUGGUAUUCAGCUUUCUUUUUUGUUUGAAUCUGAGAAAUCUUUCUAAUUUAUAUUAGCAAUUCAUACCAGUCAGAGUUGUACUUAAAAUUUGCCGUUCGUUUUGACAAGGGGGGGGUCAAAUGUCCUUUAAGAUGAAUUUGUUCCUUUAUAAACAGAAUGGGAGUUUAAUAUUUCUUAUAUAUUAAUUAGUUAUUUUUAUUUUCCAGUGUCUUAAUAUAUUUUUUAAUAAGAGCAUUUUAGAAAUUAAUCGUAAUUUCUAUUACGAUUAAUUUAUUACGAUUCUAUUACGAAAUUUGCAUUCAAGCAAUUUUGUGAAAAUUUUGAAAAAAUAAACAUUUUGUUGUGAAAUUCUGCCAAAAAAGCAUAAGUGUAAUAUAUAAAGUAAGAACAUCAGAAUCUUUUUGUUCAUGGGAGCAGACUUUUCAGCAGUUGUGUGUUCAUAUGGAUUCAUGAAUUUUCAGAAUCGUAUUGUAUAUAUUUUGGCUUAAUAUUAGUUUAUGAGUUAUGUUAGAUGUUUUUUAGUAAUUGUCUUUUUUUUUUUUGGCUAACGUGGUAAACUUAGUUUAAAAAUGCUGUGAAGAGCAUAAAUUGAUGGUUUGUGACUAUAUUUUUAGGUUUCUCUCUGUGCGGGUUAAAUUUUAUAUGCUUUGAUUUUGCUGCCAGUAGGUUAUUUAAUAAAUAUUUGUAUAAGCUCAUUUGUGAUCUUACAUUAUCCCCAUUAUUGCUUAACAUUGUUUUUUUCAGAAUUCUUUUUUUCUGAAAACGGAGACCGAACACACAAUGUAAACUUUUUUAACGUAGAUUUUUUAUGUAUUUUUUUUUACCGAAGCUAUUUUUAGCUUAUUACAGUGUUAUCAGAGACUGCCAUGUUGUGCUUCAAAUGCUGUGUCCUCCAUUUUGUGAUCGGGAUCAUUUCUCCUCCACCCUGUCUGAAACGUCAGUGAACUGUUAUGCCAACUCCCCCCCCCCCCCCCUUCCCCGAUUCCAAAACUUACUUUCUCAUCAAUGAAACAAGCUGUGAAGUCAUUUUUAUUACCUGUUUCAUAACAUAAAAGCCCAUCAAGCCCCUUUUAUAUUCUUCAUUUGGAAGGCGAGUGCUUUGCGAUGCAUGUGAUGUGAUUGCUUUCGCCAGUCCUUUUACAUUUCGUGCUGUUUGGCUUUUUGAAUUAUUCUGCCUUGUGUUGCCACCGUGUUUCACUGUCCUUAUUGAGAAAGAUGUCUUACCUUAUUCCAGUUACGUGCUGCUUUUAUCGUUGACUAUGUUGUGUUUGUUUUCCCCUUUGAUCUGCAGCUACCUGUAUAUAUCAGCUGUAUAUAAUCGAUCUAUAUGGAUAAUUAAUUAAUUGGA
Brienomyrus brachyistius is the source of this 7240-nucleotide long non-coding RNA. RefSeq lists it as uncharacterized. NCBI's taxonomy places the organism in Eukaryota, Metazoa, Chordata, Actinopteri, Osteoglossiformes, Mormyridae. The record is from RefSeq and is a predicted model, not a curated record. The transcript has 2 exons.